UACGGGGGGAGCAAGCGUUGUUCGGAUUUACUGGGCGUAAAGGGCGCGUAGGCGGCCAGCACAAGUCAGUUGUGAAAUCUCCGGGCUUAACUCGGAAAGGUCAACUGAUACUGUGCGGCUAGAGUGCAGAAGGGGCAACUGGAAUUCUCGGUGUAGCGGUGAAAUGCGUAGAUAUCGAGAGGAACACCUGCGGCGAAGGCGACUACCUGGCCUGUUCUUGACGCUGAGGCGCGAAAGCUAGGGGAGCAAACGGG
This 254-nucleotide ribosomal RNA is filed under the name uncultured bacterium. RNAcentral's name for it is "partial 16S ribosomal RNA". It matches the Rfam family "Bacterial small subunit ribosomal RNA", at positions 524 to 776 of the family's 1533-position model. The record is from RNAcentral.